GUGUCAUACCAGGUAAGUCCUGUUCCUCGCCGAGUGUCAUACCAGGUAAGUCCUGUUCCUCUCCGAGUGUCAUACCAGGUAAGUCCUGUUCCUCUCCGAGUGUCAUACCAGGUAAGUCCUGUUCCUCGCCGAGUGUCAUACCAGGUAAGUCCUGUUCCUCUC
This is a long non-coding RNA of Oncorhynchus keta (chum salmon), 162 nucleotides long. RefSeq lists it as uncharacterized. The record is from RefSeq and is a predicted model, not a curated record. The transcript is spliced from 3 exons. NCBI's taxonomy places the organism in Eukaryota, Metazoa, Chordata, Actinopteri, Salmoniformes, Salmonidae.